This 187-nucleotide ribosomal RNA is filed under the name uncultured bacterium. Its description in RNAcentral is "partial 16S ribosomal RNA". It matches the Rfam family "Bacterial small subunit ribosomal RNA", at positions 1314 to 1500 of the family's 1533-position model. The record is from RNAcentral.
GCCUGCAUGAAGUUGGAAUUGCUAGUAAUCGCGGAUCAGCAUGCCGCGGUGAAUACGUUCCCUGGCCUUGUACACACCGCCCGUCACACCAUGGGAGCCGGUAAUACCCGAAGUCAGUAGCCUAACCGCAAGGGGGGCGCUGCCGAAGGUAGGAUUGGCGACUGGGGUGAAGUCGUAACAAGGUAGC